This 481-nucleotide ribosomal RNA is filed under the name Munza trimeni. RNAcentral describes it as "partial 16S ribosomal RNA". It matches the Rfam family "Bacterial large subunit ribosomal RNA", at positions 1928 to 2620 of the family's 2925-position model. The record is from RNAcentral. Lineage: Eukaryota; Metazoa; Arthropoda; Insecta; Hemiptera; Cicadidae.
UGGCCGCGGUAACUUGACCGUGCAAAGGUAGCAUAAUUAUUAGUCUUUUAAUUGAAGGCUUGAAUGAACGAUUGGAUGAGAAAUAAACUUUAUUAGUAAAAAUUAUUUAAGUUAUUAUUUGAGUAAAAAUUCUCAAAUUCGUAAGUGGGACGAGAAGACCCUAUAGAGUUUUAUUUUUUUUAUUGUUAUUUUAUUUAAGGAUUAAUAUUUUUAUAACAAUAAAAAAUAUUUUAUUGGGGUGAUAUUAAAAAUUACUGAACUUUUAAUUAAAAUUUCAUUAAUUUAUGAUUUGUUGAUCCAAAAAUUUUGAUUAUAAGAUUUAAUUACCUUAGGGAUAACAGCGUUAUUAAUUUGAAGAGUUCAAAUCGAUAAAUUAGUUUGCGACCUCGAUGUUGGAUUAAGAAAAUAUUUUAGAGCAGUAUUUAAAAUAAUAGGUCUGUUCGACCUUUAAAUUCUUACGUGAUCUGAGGUUCACACCGGA